RNAcentral lists this ribosomal RNA (785 nucleotides) under uncultured archaeon. Its description in RNAcentral is "bacterial SSU rRNA". It matches the Rfam family "Archaeal small subunit ribosomal RNA", at positions 85 to 876 of the family's 1478-position model. The record is from RNAcentral.
ACGGCUCAGUAACACGUGGAUAACCUGCCCUAUGGUGGAGAAUAACCCCGGGAAACUGGGGAUAAUACUCCAUAGAUUAGAGAUACUGGAAUGUUCUUUAAUCGAAAGUUGAGGCGCCAUAGGAUGGAUCUGCGGUCGAUUAGGUUGUUGUUGGGGUAACGGCCCAACAAGCCUGUAAUCGAUACGGGUUGUGGGAGCAAGAGCCCGGAGAUGGAAUCUGAGACACGAUUCCAGGCCCUACGGGGCGCAGCAGGCGCGAAAACUUUACAAUGCAGGAAACUGUGAUAAGGGAACCCCGAGUGCCCGUAUACGCGGGCUGUCCAGGUGUCUAAAAAGCAUCUGAAGAAAGGGCCGGGCAAGACCGGUGCCAGCCGCCGCGGUAAUACCGGCGGCUCGAGUGGUGGCCACUAUUAUUGGGCUUAAAGCGUCCGUAGCUGGACUCUUAAGUCUCUUGGGAAAUCCGCCGGCUUAACCGACGGGCGUCUAAGAGAUACUGAGAGUCUAGGGACCGGGAGAGGUGAGAGGUACUCCGGGGGUAGGAGUGAAAUCCUGUAAUCCCUGGGGGACCACCGAUGGCGAAGGCAUCUCACCAGAACGGCUCCGACAGUGAGGGACGAAAGCUGGGGGAGCGAACCGGAUUAGAUACCCGGGUAGUCCCAGCCGUAAACUAUGCGCGUUAGGUGUACUGGUGACCACGAGUCACUGGGGUGCCGAAGGGAAACCGUGAAACGUGCCGCCUGGGAAGUACGGUCGCAAGGCUGAACUUAAAGGAAUUGGCGGGGGAG